Molecule: non-coding RNA, 24 nt
Filed under: Arabidopsis thaliana (thale cress)
Lineage: Eukaryota; Viridiplantae; Streptophyta; Magnoliopsida; Brassicales; Brassicaceae
Source: RNAcentral
UGCUUCAUGCUUUGUGUGUGUGGU